CGGGCAGCAAGCCCCGGUGACUAUGCUAACCUGGUCAUUGAGGAUAAAAUAUUGACUAAUCAUUGGUGAGGAAAAAGGGGAUUGAUUCACAAUCACCAACACCAACAUCAUGAGAAGUUGGUGGCUGCCCAUGGUGACCAAUUCAGAGUUGUAACAACUCUGCAGCAACAUCUAUUUCUUGAGUCUUGAUUCCUGCAGGAACAUAUUAGCCACGGAAAGGAUUAGAUAGACCAAGGU
Molecule: long non-coding RNA, 237 nt
Filed under: Elaeis guineensis (African oil palm)
Lineage: Eukaryota; Viridiplantae; Streptophyta; Magnoliopsida; Arecales; Arecaceae
Description: long non-coding RNA (EGUI_LNC018091)
Source: RNAcentral